GACGAACGCUGGCGGCGUGCUUAACACAUGCAAGUCGAACGGUGAAGCGAGUGCUUGCACUCGUGGAUCAGUGGCGAACGGGUGAGUAACACGUGAGUAACCUGCCCAUCACUCUGGGAUAAGCACUGGAAACGGUGUCUAAUACUGGAUACGACCAACCCUUGCAUGGGGUGUUGGUGGAAAGAUUUAUCGGUGAUGGAUGGACUCGCGGCCUAUCAGCUUGUUGGCGGGGUAAUGGCCCACCAAGGCGACGACGGGUAGCCGGCCUGAGAGGGUGACCGGCCACACUGAGACUGAGACACAGCCCAGACUCCUACGGGAGGCAGCAGUGGGGAAUAUUGCACAAUGGGCGAAAGACUGAUGCAGCGACGCCGAGUGAGGGAUGACGGCCUUCGGGUUGUAAACCUCUUUCAGCAGGGAAGAAGCGAAAGUGACGGUACCUGCAGAAGAAGCACCGGCUAACUACGUG
RNAcentral lists this ribosomal RNA (469 nucleotides) under uncultured bacterium. RNAcentral describes it as "partial 16S ribosomal RNA". It matches the Rfam family "Bacterial small subunit ribosomal RNA", at positions 28 to 507 of the family's 1533-position model. The record is from RNAcentral.